CAUUACAACAGAAAAUGCGGGAGGUACGCCUGAACUCCUUAGCAAACACAUUGAUGUCUACCCUUCCAUGUUGCUUCCCCAGACCAGUAGCCACUGCUGCCAGCCAAGUCCAUAAUUUGGUCUUCCGGGUUGAGGUAUCUGGGGAAGGACUUAUCAUUAAACCCUUGAACUAAUCAGUUGUCUGAGAGAGGGCCAUCUGCCCUGAUAUUUAAAUUAUAUUAAAACUUUCAACAACGGAUCUCUUGGCUCUCGCAUCGAUGAAGAACGCAGCGAAAUGCGAUACGUAAUGUGAAUUGCAGAAUUCCGUGAAUCAUUGAAUCUUUGAACGCAUCUUGCGCCUCUUGGUAUUCCGAGGGGCAUGCCUGUUUGAGUGUCAUUAGAACUAUCAAAAAACAAUGGUUUCGAUCAUUAUUUUUUGGAAUUGGAGGUGGUGCCCUGGGUCUUUUGAGAAAAAGACUCCCCGAGCUCCUCUGAAAUGCAUUAGCGAAAUGCAGUGCACUUUCUUCUCCUUGGGGCAUUGAUAAGUUACUUUCAUGUCCUAAGCUGCGGGGAGGAAGUCACAGAAUGCUUUUUUGCUCCUGAACGUGUAAAUCUUGACAACCAAAGCCCUCAAAUCAGGCAGGACUACCC
RNAcentral lists this ribosomal RNA (630 nucleotides) under uncultured Basidiomycota. RNAcentral's name for it is "eukaryotic LSU rRNA". The stretch from base 223 to 376 matches the Rfam family "5.8S ribosomal RNA". Lineage: Eukaryota; Fungi; Basidiomycota. The record is from RNAcentral.